Molecule: ribosomal RNA, 374 nt
Filed under: uncultured organism
Description: partial 16S ribosomal RNA
Rfam family: Bacterial small subunit ribosomal RNA
Source: RNAcentral
GUAGGUGGCAAGCGUUGUCCGGAAUUAUUGGGCGUAAAGCGCGCGCAGGCGGUUCUUUAAGUCUGAUGUGAAAGCCCACGGCUCAACCGUGGAGGGUCAUUGGAAACUGGAGAACUUGAGUACAGAAGAGGAAAGCGGAAUUCCACGUGUAGCGGUGAAAUGCGUAGAGAUGUGGAGGAACACCAGUGGCGAAGGCGGCUUCCUGGUCUGUAACUGACGCUGAGGCGCGAAAGCGUGGGGAGCAAACAGGGAUUAGAUACCCUGGUAGUCCACGCCGUAAACGAUGAGUGCUAAGUGUUAGGGGGGUUUCCGCCCCCCUUAGUGCUGCAGCUAACGCAUUAAGCACUCCGCCUGGGGAUACGGCCGCAAGGCUG